GAUGAACGCUGGCGGCGCGCCUAACACAUGCAAGUCGAACGGUUAAAGCACCUUUUAGGUGUGUAUAAAGUGGCGAACGGCUGAGUAACACGUGGGCAACCUGCCCUCCUCUUGGGGAUAGCCUCGGGAAACCGAGGAUAAUACCCGAUACUUCAAUGUGGCCGCAUGACGACAUUGAGAAAGCUUUUGCGGAGAAGGAUGGGCCCGCGGCCUGUUAGCUUGUUGGUGGGGUAGAGGCCUACCAAGGCAAUGAUGGGUAGCUGGGUUGAGAGACCGACCAGCCAGAUUGGGACUGAGACACGGCCCAGACUCCUACGGGAGGCAGCAGUGGGGAAUCUUGCACAAUGGGCGAAAGCCUGAUGCAGCGACGCCGCGUGCGGGACGAAGGCCUUCGGGUUGUAAACCGCUUUCAGCAGGGACGAGGCGAAAGUGACGGUACCUGCAGAAGAAGCCCCGGCUACA
RNAcentral lists this ribosomal RNA (462 nucleotides) under Lancefieldella rimae. RNAcentral describes it as "bacterial SSU rRNA". It matches the Rfam family "Bacterial small subunit ribosomal RNA", at positions 28 to 501 of the family's 1533-position model. The record is from RNAcentral. Lineage: Bacteria; Bacillati; Actinomycetota; Coriobacteriia; Coriobacteriales; Atopobiaceae.